RNAcentral lists this ribosomal RNA (340 nucleotides) under Pseudo-nitzschia fraudulenta. Its description in RNAcentral is "partial Bacterial large subunit ribosomal RNA". It matches the Rfam family "Bacterial large subunit ribosomal RNA", at positions 1951 to 2290 of the family's 2925-position model. The record is from RNAcentral. Lineage: Eukaryota; Bacillariophyta; Bacillariophyceae; Bacillariales; Bacillariaceae.
CUAAGGUAGCGAAAUUCCUUGUCGGGUAAGUUCCGACCUGCACGAAUGGCGUAACGACUUCCCCGCUGUCUCCAAUGCAGACUCAGCGAAAUUGAAUUGCCUGUCAAGAUGCAGGCUUCCCGCGGUUAGACGGAAAGACCCCGUGCACCUUCACUACAGCUUCGCAUUGGCAUCAGGCACAACAUGUGCAGGAUAGGUGGUAGGCUUCGAAGCAGGGACGCCAGUCCCUGUGGAGCCUCCCUUGAGAUACCACCCUUGCUCUGCUUGAAGUCUAACCGCGGCCCGUUAUCCGGGUCCGGGACCCUGCGUGGUGGGUAGUUUGACUGGGGCGGUCGCCUCC